This 142-nucleotide ribosomal RNA is filed under the name uncultured eukaryote. Its description in RNAcentral is "partial 18S ribosomal RNA". It matches the Rfam family "Eukaryotic small subunit ribosomal RNA", at positions 1299 to 1458 of the family's 1831-position model. The record is from RNAcentral.
UUGUGGAGCGAUUUGUCUGGUCAAUUCCGAUAAUAAACGAGACUAGCCUACUAAAUAGUUCGAGGACCCCCACAAAGGGGUCCAGCUUAAACUUCUUGGAGGGUACAGGUGGCGUUUAGCCACACGAGAUUGAGCAAUAACA